CACUAAGAUUUACAAAUUUUCCAGAGUUACAGGAGCAGCAGAUCUGGGAGGGAGACUGGCUUGGGGAGUGACAGUUCUGAAAAAACACCAAAUUGGGAAGAGCUAUUUGUGGAGCCCCACAUGUGAAUAGUUCACACCUCUGGGUUCAAUCCCAGCAUCCUGAAAGGCUGUGGCAGGAGGGUCACAAAUUCCAGGGGAUCCUGGGUAAUUUAGUGAGACCAUGUCUCAAAAUAAAAUUUAAGGUGGGUGUAGUGGUGCAUGCCUGUAAUCCUAGCUCCAGCAAUGUAGAGAAGCCCUAAGCAACUGAGCAAGACCCUGUCUCAAAAUAAAAAAUAAAAAGGGCCGAGGAUGAGGCUCAAUGGUUAAGUGCCCCUGAUUUCAAUCUCUGAUGAAAGAAAAGAAAAGAAAGAAAGAAAGAAAGAAAGGAAAGAAGGAAGGAAGGAAGAAAGGAAGAAAGAGAAAGAAAGAAAGAAGAAAGCAGGGGCAGCGUUGGAGCAGAACAGAGUGAACAUAAUGUGGACACUGUCCUCCUUGGGGAGCUAGAUGGAGUUGGGGUCAAGGAACUAUCAACACCGUCCUGCUCAUCCUGCCCAUGAUGAUGGAAAAGGAAAGUCCAAGAAGAAGUUGGGUCUGAGCUGGAGUCUGCAAAAGGGUCAUGUGAGAGGAGCCCCGAGGUGGCAGCACUAGGAGGGGAUUCUGCUUCGGAGCUUCAUGCCAACCUAUCAUCAUGAACUCUCAAGCCAAGGUAGAUCCAGCACCUGGAAGUGACCUGGUUUUUGCAUGAAUGUUUAGAAGUUAUAUGUGUGAUAGGCUCCUCUCCCUCAGAAAACAGCAGUGCACUGGAAAAUCAGCAUGCAUCCAAGGCAAUGUGUAGUUAUGUUUUUAGAGUAAAUUGUCCAAUGUCCACUUUGAUCCAGUCAACAGUUGCUUCUAGAUGAAGGCAGGGCACAUGCAUAGUCCCAGCUGACUCCCUUCUGUUGAACUAGGAUAUUUCUCAGUGGCACAGGCAAGGUACUAUAGACAGGAACUGCAUAUGAAGCAGCAUCUCCUUUAAAAUACGCAGUUGUCAUCUUUUAUCCAUUGGGGAAGACAUUCCAGGACCCAAUGGACCUCUGAAGGGUAACAAAUGCCAUAUAUAUUUGUGUUUUGUAUACUAUACAUAUAUACCUGUUAUGAAAUUUAUUAGUUAAGCACAAUAAAAAAUAAUAAAACAAUUUUAACAACAUACUGUAAUA
RNAcentral lists this long non-coding RNA (1235 nucleotides) under Ictidomys tridecemlineatus (thirteen-lined ground squirrel). Its description in RNAcentral is "lncRNA (ENSSTOG00000032954.1)". The record is from RNAcentral. Lineage: Eukaryota; Metazoa; Chordata; Mammalia; Rodentia; Sciuridae.